Molecule: long non-coding RNA, 1674 nt
Organism: Salvelinus sp. IW2-2015
Lineage: Eukaryota; Metazoa; Chordata; Actinopteri; Salmoniformes; Salmonidae
Source: RefSeq, a predicted model, not a curated record
GUCUGGACCUGUCCAACCUCAGCACUGGGAGUGUAGACGAUGCUGCUGCACAGGGAUCACCACACAAAGGUGAGCAAUUCGUUUUACAAAGGCCUAUUCAUUCACACACAAAAAAUGCUUGACAGCAAGUCAGCAACCCAGGGGAAACCCCCAAAGAAAAGCAGAGGAGACAAUGGCAAGGAUCUGAACAGGUCUCGGAUCCGAACCAGCACAGGUCUGUUUGGGUCUGUUUUCCACACUACUUUUCGGAAAGGGUCUGACUGUUCUCGCGUCCAUUUGGAACGGGUCUCUGUUUUUUGAAAAUGUAUUUAUGCAUAUCGGUCAGGCGGGAAAGCCACGGAUCCAUUCCCAACUUUUUGGACCCGUUAAGACCUCUAACUCCCAAGGUAGGAAGACCCGAGACGCCAGUCUUGGCUGGGCAUAAGUUCAGAGUGUAUGACCAUCUAUGCUGGUGUGUGCGUUGCAUAUUCUGUCCACAAACUCAGAUGAGUGUUCUUCUGGAAGGGAAGUUCAGCUGCUUGGUUGAGUCUUUUGCCGUGGUGGACUGCUGUUACCCAUAUGAGUAUCAGGGAGGACACAUUAUGGGGGCUCUGAGCCUGCCCAAAACAGACGAGGCAGUGGAUAGCAUACUGUCCCAGAGGCUAAAAGCCCACACAUUUGAUAAGAGGCUUGUGUUGGAGCUGCACUGUGAAUUCUCCUCCGAAAGAGCACCCAGAACGUGAYAUACAUACCUUUUUGUCACAUCCUCCUGUGUGUGUUUUCGUGUCCGUGUGUGUGUAUCAAAUCUGCAGAUUACCUAUUAUCUGCUUUUGACUCCUGACCAGAAAUGUGUUUUUUCUGCAUGUAUUCCAUUUGAGAUUAAGUCUCUCCUCAUGAGAGAGUGCUUUUCUCCUUCUGUAGGUGUCGCCUCCUGCGCAGUGUGGACCACAGCAUGAACGAAUACCCAGCCCUGCACUAUCCUCAAGGGUGGCUACAGAGACUUCUCUCACCAGGAGCACUGUGAGCCCAAGUCCUACUGACCAAUGCACCACGAGGACCACAGAAAGGAGCUGCUGCGGUGCCGCACACACAGCCGAGCCUCCGCCUAGGAGCGCCGCAGACGCCACCACAUCCAAACUUUUGUCAAACUCUGAGCCAGUCGUGUCGGGGAUGGAGUCCGGGAGAAGAACAGACACUCAGAGGGACAGCUGAGUCCAAACAGUGACCUCGAGAUCGUCCGUUUAAUUAUCCUACAGGAACCUACUUGACUAUGUGAUAACAAAUUGCCCUUUUGUUGUGCUUGCCAGCUUUCCAAAUGGAACCCUUUUUCACAUGCUGUCAUGUAAACUAUGCACUAUGUCGAUGUUCACUGAUGCCUUUGUCCAUUUUGUAGUAUAUUUUAAUUACAGUAGAGACCGCAGGUCGCCUUUUCAAAUUGCUUUAAUGUCAUUUCCACAUUGCAGAGCAGAAAAUGGUGGCAUUAUUUCCAGUGUCAAUCAUGGAUGUAUGUUUUUAUUAUUAAUGGGAAUCAUGACUUAAUUUGAGCUCUUCUGAAUACCAUUUUUUUAACCAGAGUGAAUGACCUUGGAGUUUAGGUUGAAUAGUUUUUAAUGUUUUGAUUAUAUCAGGGACCUGCACAUGAAUUAAUGUAUUAACUAUGACGUUUAUAAUUAAAAAACACACCAAAAAACAUAA